GAUUAUAAAUAAGAUCGUUGGUUGUGCUGUCUGGGACAAACAAUUGCAUGACGUCAUUUGUCAUAGCGAUAAUCUCAAUAUUGACUGUUGAGCUUAUUGGAUAGAGCGCAAUGUCGUGUAGGAUAUGAAGUCGAUGGGGUUGAUUUUUCUUUAUGUUGUGGGGGCCAAAUUUUACUUACAAGCAUUAAAUAAUUGAGUGACGUCGUUUCUUAUUGUAACAUAAUGACAAUAAUGAGCUCAGUGUGUAGAGCUGGAUGUCGUGUAGAAUGUGAAGAUGUUUUGUGGAAGACCUAAACAUGUAGAUAUAUUAACACAUAAUAUGCAUCAGUAUGCCACGUCUCUAUAAACGAAAAACCAGAAGGGGAAAUACACCCAUAGAUAUCUUAGAGAGAGCUGCUGCGGAUGUUAGAGGUGGUAAAGGUAUACGCUCUGCUGCUAAGGAUUUUGGAGUGGACAGAAUGACAUUAAAGCGUUUUAUCUCAAAACGUGAUGUUGACCCUGAAGCUAUAACUGGAUAUUCUGCCGUCUCUAGAUCACAUGCAGUGUUCACACCCAAAAUGGAAGAGGAUCUUGCAAAUCAUGUGAAACAGCUUUGUGAUCAAUUCCAUGGUUUAUCUCUACAAAAAAUUUCUUAAACUUGCAUAUGAAUUUGCAUCAUGUAACAAUCUGCUUAUGCCAGACAAUUGGCAAAGAGAUGGUAAAGCAGGAAAGGACUGGUGGUUUGGUUUCAAACAAAGACAUCAAGAUGGUUUUGUUUGACAUUUUGUUAAUGAUGUGUUUUUCCAAUUAAUAGUAACCAUGUUUGUGCAUUCUGAAAACAAAAAAUAUUUACUGACAUUAAGAUUGUUAUGUUUGACAUUUUAUGAUUAAUUGCCUUUUGUUUUUUGGUUACUGUAGAGUUUUGAAGAACACUUUUUGUUAUAUUUGUGUUCACAUUUCUAGUAACCAUGUUUGCGUUACUAAAGUGUAUUCAGAGAGCCUUAUUGAUGUUAAGACCGCUAUUUUUGACCUGUCAUGGUUAACAUGGGUUUUUUUCUUUUGGCUGUAUAGUAACCAUGUUAGGAUUACUAAAGUGCUUAUAAAAAUGUACUAACGUGAAGACAGUUAUAUUUGAUAUUUCAUAGUUCAUGUUUUGUUUUCCUUGGCUCCAGUAAUCAUGCUUGCAUUACUAAAGUGCUCAUAGAAUGCUUUACUGAUAUUAAGAUAUUUAUAUUUCACAUGUCAUAGUGAAUGAUGUGGUAUUGCUUGGCCAACAGUUUUGAAAAACACUUUUUAAAGUUUCAUUACGUUCAAAUUUAUUUGUUUUUACAUUGUUUGUGUUAUUAAAGUACAUCCAGUUAAAGUUUAACUGAUAAUAAACAUUUUUCAUUAUG
This is a long non-coding RNA of Gigantopelta aegis, 1373 nucleotides long. RefSeq lists it as uncharacterized. The record is from RefSeq and is a predicted model, not a curated record. The transcript has 2 exons. Lineage: Eukaryota; Metazoa; Mollusca; Gastropoda; Neomphalida; Peltospiridae.